AUGCACGCUGGCGGCGUGCCUAAUACAUGCCAGUCGAGCGAACGGACGAGAAGCUUGCUUUUCUGAUGUUAGCGGCGGACGGGUGAGUAACACGUGGAUAACCUACCUAUAAGACUGGGAUAACUUCGGGAAACCGGAGCUAAUACCGGAUAAUAUUUUGAACCGCAUGGUUCAAAAGUGAAAGACGGUCUUGCUGUCACUUAUAGAUGGAUCCGCGCUGCAUUAGCUAGUUGGUAAGGUAACGGCUUACCAAGGCAACGAUGCAUAGCCGACCUGAGAGGGUGAUCGGCCACACUGGAACUGAGACACGGUCCAGACUCCUACGGGAGGCAGCAGUAGGGAAUCUUCCGCAAAGGGCGAAAGCCUGACGGAGCAACGCCGCGUGAGUGAUGAAGGUCUUCGGAUCGUAAAACUCUGUUAUUAGGGAAGAACAUAUGUGUAAGUAACUGUGCACAUCUUGACGGUACCUAAUCAGAAAGCCACGGCUAACUACGUG
This 496-nucleotide ribosomal RNA is filed under the name uncultured bacterium. Its description in RNAcentral is "partial 16S ribosomal RNA". It matches the Rfam family "Bacterial small subunit ribosomal RNA", at positions 29 to 507 of the family's 1533-position model. The record is from RNAcentral.